Molecule: ribosomal RNA, 253 nt
Filed under: uncultured bacterium
Lineage: Bacteria
Description: partial 16S ribosomal RNA
Rfam family: Bacterial small subunit ribosomal RNA
Source: RNAcentral
UACGUAGGGUGCGAGCGUUAAUCGGAAUUACUGGGCGUAAAGCGCACGUAGGCGGCUCUUUAAGUCGGGGGUGAAAUCCUGGAGCUCAACUCCAGAACUGCCUUCGAUACUGAAGAGCUUGAGUCCGGGAGAGGUGAGUGGAACUGCGAGUGUAGAGGUGAAAUUCGUAGAUAUUCGCAAGAACACCAGUGGCGAAGGCGGCUCACUGGCCCGGUACUGACGCUGAGGUGCGAAAGCGUGGGGAGCAAACAGG